RNAcentral lists this ribosomal RNA (493 nucleotides) under uncultured bacterium. Its description in RNAcentral is "partial 16S ribosomal RNA". It matches the Rfam family "Bacterial small subunit ribosomal RNA", at positions 30 to 507 of the family's 1533-position model. The record is from RNAcentral.
AUUGAACGCUGGCGGCAUGCUUUACACAUGCAAGUCGAACGGCAACGCGGAGAAGCUUGCUUCUCUGUCGGCGAGUGGCGAACGGGUGAGUAUAGCAUCGGAACGUGCCAAGUAGUGGGGGAUAACCAAACGAAAGUUUGGCUAAUACCGCGUAAGCUCCAAGGCGGAAAGUAGGGGACCUAAAUAAGGCCUUACGCUAUUUGAUCGGCCGAUGUCGGAUUAGCUAGUUGGUGGGGUAAUGGCUCACCAAGGCAAUGAUCCGUAGCGGGUCUGAGAGGACGAUCCGCCACACUGGGACUGAGACACGGCCCAGACUCCUACGGGAGGCAGCAGUGGGGAAUUUUGGACAAUGGGGGAAACCCUGAUCCAGCCAUGCCGCGUGUAUGAAGAAGGCCUUAGGGUUGUAAAGUACUUUUGUUAGGGAAGAAAAGCUAGUUUUUAAUAAAAAGUAGUGAUGACGGUACCUAAAGAAUAAGCACCGGCUAACUACGUG